CGCCUCGGAGCCCCACGAGCCGGAGAAAAAGCCCUUCAAGCUCCUAGGUAUUUUAGAUGUUGAGAACACUCCAUGCGCUCGAGAAUCUAUACUGUAUGGCUCACUAGGAUCUAUUGUGACUGGACUUGGACAUUUCUUGGUGACCAGCAGAAUUAGAAGAUCCUGUGAUGUUGGAGUAGGAGGAUUUAUCCUGGUGACUUUAGGAUGCUGGUAUGUUUGCUGGAUAUUCCAGGAAAGUCAGGAGAAGUAACAACAUUCACUCAAUAAAUAUGGGGUUCCACUGUAGGUAUAAUUUUGCUAAGCAGAGGAUCCAGGAAAGAAUUGCCAGAGAAGGAAUAAAAAACAAGAUUUUAUAUGAAAGCACCCACCUUGAUCCUGAAAGAAAAACGAAGAGCAGUAACAGCAGCUGAGCGACUUCAUCAGCUUUAAACCCACAACUAUGCUUCCUUGUGAAUCAACCAUAAAUUAAACUCAAGUGUGUCAACUGU
This 488-nucleotide long non-coding RNA is filed under the name Rattus norvegicus (Norway rat). RNAcentral describes it as "long non-coding RNA NONRATT008501". Lineage: Eukaryota; Metazoa; Chordata; Mammalia; Rodentia; Muridae. The record is from RNAcentral.